Molecule: ribosomal RNA, 481 nt
Filed under: uncultured bacterium
Lineage: Bacteria
Description: partial 16S ribosomal RNA
Rfam family: Bacterial small subunit ribosomal RNA
Source: RNAcentral
GAUGAACGCUGGCGGCGUGCCUAACACAUGCAAGUCGAACGGAGAUUACGGACGGAAGUUUUCGGAUGGAAGCCUGUAAUUCUUAGUGGCGGACGGGUGAGUAACGCGUGGGCAACCUGCCCUAUACAGGGGGAUAGCAGCUGGAAACGGCUGGUAAGACCGCAUAAGUCGGUUAAAUCGCAUGAUUUGAUCGGGAAAUGAGCAAUCAGGUAUAGGAUGGGCCCGCGUCCGAUUAGCCAGUUGGCAGGGUAAAAGCCUACCAAAGCGACGAUCGGUAGCCGGACUGAGAGGUCGGACGGUCACAUUGGGACUGAGACACGGCCCAAACUCCUACGGGAGGCAGCAGUGGGGGAUAUUGCACAAUGGAGGAAACUCUGAUGCAGCGACGCCGCGUGAGUGAAGAAGUAUUUCGGUAUGUAAAGCUCUAUCAGCAGGGAAGAUGAUGACGGUACCUGACUAAGAAGCCCCGGCUAACUACGUG